AUGGCCUGGGCUCUGCUCCUCCUCACCCUCCUCACUCAGGGCACAGUCUGCCCUGACUCAGCCUCACUCAGUACCCGGGUCUCCUGGACAGUCGGUCACCAUCUCCUGCACUGGAACCAGCAGUGACGUUGGGCAUUAUAACUAUGUCUCCUGGUGCCAGCAGCACCCAGGCACAUGAUUUAUGAAGUCAGUUAUAGGCUCUCUGGAGUCUCUGAUCACUUCUCUGGCUCCCAGCUCUGGCAACAUGGCCUCCAUGACCAUCUCUGGGCUCCAGGCUGAGGACGAGGCUGAUUAUUACUGCAGU
This 304-nucleotide long non-coding RNA is filed under the name Homo sapiens (human). RNAcentral describes it as "non-protein coding lnc-GGTLC2-3:1". Lineage: Eukaryota; Metazoa; Chordata; Mammalia; Primates; Hominidae. The record is from RNAcentral.